RNAcentral lists this ribosomal RNA (635 nucleotides) under Aggregatibacter sp. 316364/07. RNAcentral describes it as "bacterial SSU rRNA". It matches the Rfam family "Bacterial small subunit ribosomal RNA", at positions 35 to 659 of the family's 1533-position model. Lineage: Bacteria; Pseudomonadati; Pseudomonadota; Gammaproteobacteria; Pasteurellales; Pasteurellaceae. The record is from RNAcentral.
GCUGGCGGCAGGCUUAACACAUGCAAGUCGAACGGUAACAGGGGAAAGCUUGCUUUCUUGCUGACGAGUGGCGGACGGGUGAGUAAUGCUUGGGAAUCUGGCUUAUGGAGGGGGAUAACGACGGGAAACUGUCGCUAAUACCGCGUAGAGUCGAGAGACGAAAGUGUGGGACCGCAAGGCCACAUGCCAUGAGAUGAGCCCAAGUGGGAUUAGGUAGUUGGUGGGGUAAAGGCCUACCAAGCCGACGAUCUCUAGCUGGUCUGAGAGGAUGACCAGCCACACCGGGACUGAGACACGGCCCGGACUCCUACGGGAGGCAGCAGUGGGGAAUAUUGCGCAAUGGGGGCAACCCUGACGCAGCCAUGCCGCGUGAAUGAAGAAGGCCUUCGGGUUGUAAAGUUCUUUCGGUGACGAGGAAGGUUGUUGUGUUAAUAGCGCAACAAAUUGACGUUAAUCACAGAAGAAGCACCGGCUAACUCCGUGCCAGCAGCCGCGGUAAUACGGAGGGUGCGAGCGUUAAUCGGAAUAACUGGGCGUAAAGGGCACGCAGGCGGCUAUUUAAGUGAGGUGUGAAAUCCCCGGGCUUAACCUGGGAAUUGCAUUUCAGACUGGGUAGCUAGAGUACUUUAGGGAGG